UACGGAGGAUGCGAGCGUUAUCCGGAUUUAUUGGGUUUAAAGGGUGCGUAGGCGGACUAUUAAGUCAGUGGUGAAAGUUUGUCGCUUAACGGUAAAAUUGCCGUUGAUACUGGUAGUCUUGAGUGUAUUUGAGGUAGGCGGAAUGUGUGGUGUAGCGGUGAAAUGCUUAGAUAUCACACAGAACACCGAUUGCGAAGGCAGCUUGCUAAGAUACAACUGACGCUGAGGCACGAAAGUGUGGGGAUCAAACAGGAUUAGAUACCCUGGUAGUCCACACUGUAAACGAUGAUAACUGGAUGUUGGUUCGAACGGAUCAGCGUCUGAUGUGAAAGCAUUAAGUUAUCCACCUGGGGAGUACGUCGGCAACGAUGAA
This 373-nucleotide ribosomal RNA is filed under the name uncultured bacterium. Its description in RNAcentral is "bacterial SSU rRNA". It matches the Rfam family "Bacterial small subunit ribosomal RNA", at positions 524 to 898 of the family's 1533-position model. The record is from RNAcentral.